This 798-nucleotide ribosomal RNA is filed under the name uncultured Archaeospora. RNAcentral describes it as "SSU rRNA". It matches the Rfam family "Eukaryotic small subunit ribosomal RNA", at positions 314 to 1114 of the family's 1831-position model. Lineage: Eukaryota; Fungi; Glomeromycota; Glomeromycetes; Archaeosporales; Archaeosporaceae. The record is from RNAcentral.
AUCAACUUUCGAUGGUAGGAUAGAGGCCUACCAUGGUUUUAACGGGUAACGGGGAAUUAGGGUUCGAUUCCGGAUAGGGAGCCUGAGAAACGGCUACCACUUCUAAGGAAGGCAGCAGGCGCGCUAAUUACCCAAUCCCGACACGGGGAGGUAGUGACAAUAAAUAACAAUACAGGGCCUUUACAGGUCUUGUAAUUGGAAUAAGUACAAUUUAAAUCUCUUAACGAGGAACAAUUGGAGGGCAAGUCUGGUGCCAGCAGCCGCGGUAAUUCCAGCUCCAAUAGCGUAUAUUAAAGUUGUUGCAGUUAAAAAGCUCGUAGUUGAAUUUUGGAUUCUUCCAAUUGGUCCAUCUUUUAGAUGAGUACUGGUUGUGUGGGGUCUAUCCGCCUGGUAAUACGUAAUGUCCUUUAUUGGAUGUUGCGGGUAGUCAGGACCUUUACCUUGAAAAAAUUAGAGUGUUUAAAGCAGGCUUAUGCCGGAAUACAUUAGCAUGGAAUAAUAGAAUAGGACGAAGUUGUUUUAUUUUGUUGGUUUCUAGGACAACCGUAAUGAUUAAUAGGGAUAGUUGGGGGCAUUAGUAUUCAAUUGUCAGAGGUGAAAUUCUUGGAUUUAUUGAAGACUAACUACUGCGAAAGCAUUUGCCAAGGAUGUUUUCAUUAAUCAAGAACGAAAGUUAGGGGAUCGAAGACGAUCAGAUACCGUCGUAGUCUUAACCAUAAACUAUGCCGACUAGGGAUCGGGCGAUGUUGUUUCCAUGACUCGCUCGGCACCUUAUGGGAAACCAAAGUGUUUGGGUUC